RNAcentral lists this ribosomal RNA (504 nucleotides) under uncultured Glomus. Its description in RNAcentral is "SSU rRNA". It matches the Rfam family "Eukaryotic small subunit ribosomal RNA", at positions 569 to 1078 of the family's 1831-position model. The record is from RNAcentral. Lineage: Eukaryota; Fungi; Glomeromycota; Glomeromycetes; Glomerales; Glomeraceae.
AGCAGCCGCGGUAAUUCCAGCUCCAAUAGCGUAUAUUAAAGUUGUUGCAGUUAAAAAGCUCGUAGUUGAAUUUCGGGGUCAGUAGGUUGGUCGUGCCACCGGUACGUACUGGUCUCACUGAUUCCUCCUUCCUGAUGAGCUGUAAUGCCAUUAAUUUGGUGUUGCAGGGAAUCUGGACUGUUACUUUGAAAAAUUAGAGUGUUUAAAGCAGGCUAACGCUUGAAUACAUUAGCAUGGAAUAAUGAAAUAGGACGUUCGAUCCUAUUUUGUUGGUUUCUAGGAUUGACGUAAUGAUUAAUAGGGAUAGUUGGGGGCAUUAGUAUUCAAUUGUCAGAGGUGAAAUUCUUGGAUUUAUUGAAGACUAACUACUGCGAAAGCAUUUGCCAAGGAUGUUUUCAUUAAUCAAGAACGAAAGUUAGGGGAUCGAAGACGAUCAGAUACCGUCGUAGUCUUAACCAUAAACUAUAGCCGACUAGGGAUCGGAUGAUGUUAAUUUUUAAUGUA